UAAUAGGCGGCUUGCUAGAAUGCAAGUGGAACGCUGAUCACGAGGUAGCAAUAUUUCGUGGUCGGAGUCGCGUAAGGGUGCGUAACACGUGGGUAAUUUGCCGCGAAGCCUGGAAUAACCUGCCGAAAGGUAGGCUAAUACCGGAUGUGAUUACUGGGAGGCAUCUUCUGGUGAUUAAAGCUGGGGACCGCAAGGCCUGGCACUUCGCGAUAAGCCCGCGGCCUAUCAGCUAGUUGGCGGGGUAACGGCCCACCAAGGCUAAGACGGGUAGCUGGUCUGAGAGGACGACCAGCCACACUGGAACUGAGACACGGUCCAGACACCUACGGGUGGCAGCAGUCGAGAAUUUUUCACAAUGGGCGAAAGCCUGAUGGAGCGACGCCGCGUGGGGGAUGAAUGGCUUCGGCCCGUAAACCCCUGUCAUGCGCGAACAAUGCUGACGGCCUAACACGUUGUCAGUUGAUAGUAGCGCAAGAGGAAGGGACGGCUAACUCUGUGCCAGCAGCCGCGGUAAUACAGAGGUCCCAAGCGUUGUUCGGAUUCACUGGGCGUAAAGGGUGCGUAGGCGGUCGGGUAAGUCCGAUGUGAAAUCCCGGAGCUUAACUCCGGAACGGCAUCAGAUACUGCCUGGCUAGAGGGGUGGAGGGGGGACUGGAAUUCUCGGUGUAGCAGUGAAAUGCGUAGAUAUCGAGAGGAACGCUAGUGGCGAAGGCGAGUCCCUGGACACCAUCUGACGCUGAGGCACGAAAGCUAGGGGAGCAAACAGGAUUAGAUACCCUGGUAGUCCUAGCUGUAAACGGUGCACGUUUGCUGUGGGCGGAAUCGACCCCGCCCGUGGCGUAGCUAACGCGUUAAACGUGCCGCCUGGGAAGUACGGUCGCAAGAUUAAAACUCAAAAGGAAUUGACGG
Molecule: ribosomal RNA, 909 nt
Filed under: uncultured Verrucomicrobiota bacterium
Lineage: Bacteria; Pseudomonadati; Verrucomicrobiota
Description: bacterial SSU rRNA
Rfam family: Bacterial small subunit ribosomal RNA
Source: RNAcentral